AGAAUCAACGCUGGCGGCGUGCCUAACACAUGCAAGUCGAACGAGAAAGUGGGAGCAAUCCCACGAGUAAAGUGGCGCACGGGUGAGUAACACGUGACUAACCUACCCUUGAGUGGGGGAUAACCUAGGGAAACCGUGGGCUAAUAACCGCAUAAUACCUACGGGUCAAAGGAGCAAUUCGCUUUAGGAGGGGGUCGCGGCAGAUUAGUUAGUUGGCGGGGUAAUGGCCCACCAAGACAGUGAUCUGUA
Molecule: ribosomal RNA, 249 nt
Filed under: uncultured bacterium
Lineage: Bacteria
Description: partial small subunit ribosomal RNA
Rfam family: Bacterial small subunit ribosomal RNA
Source: RNAcentral